RNAcentral lists this ribosomal RNA (491 nucleotides) under uncultured bacterium. RNAcentral's name for it is "partial 16S ribosomal RNA". It matches the Rfam family "Bacterial small subunit ribosomal RNA", at positions 29 to 507 of the family's 1533-position model. The record is from RNAcentral.
GUGAACGCUGGCGGUAGGCCUAACACAUGCCAGUCGACCGGCAGCACAGUAAGAGCUUGCUCUUACGGGUGGCGAGUGGCGGACGGGUGAGGAAUACAUCGGAAUCUACUUUUUCGUGGGGGAUAACGUAGGGAAACUUACGCUAAUACCGCAUACGACCUACGGGUGAAAGCAGGGGAUCUUCGGACCUUGCGCGAUUGAAUGAGCCGAUGUCGGAUUAGCUAGUUGGCGGGGUAAAGGCCCACCAAGGCGACGAUCCGUAGCUGGUCUGAGAGGAUGAUCAGCCACACUGGAACUGAGACACGGUCCAGACUCCUACGGGAGGCAGCAGUGGGGAAUAUUGGACAAUGGGCGCAAGCCUGAUCCAGCCAUACCGCGUGGGUGAAGAAGGCCUUCGGGUUGUAAAGCCCUUUUGUUGGGAAAGAAAAGCAGCAGGUUAAUACCCCGCUGUUCUGACGGUACCCAAAGAAUAAGCACCGGCUAACUUCGUG